RNAcentral lists this long non-coding RNA (1371 nucleotides) under Meleagris gallopavo (turkey). RNAcentral describes it as "lncRNA (ENSMGAG00000020018.1)". The record is from RNAcentral. Lineage: Eukaryota; Metazoa; Chordata; Aves; Galliformes; Phasianidae.
UGAUGCCGGCGGCGGCGGCGCGCGGUGCUUCGGGGGGCCCGAGUGCUCGGGGCUGAGCGCAGCAGGGACGGCUGUGGGUGGCAGCUGAUCUCGGGGUGAUGGGAAUGUCCGUCCUGCGGGAUGCGCUCACACACGCCUCUUUCCUCGCAGCUGAGUGCUGGUCCGCUGAGGAGCUCCUCCCCGCAGGGUCCGGGGAUGGAGCAGCGCUUGGGCAAGAUGUCCUCGAAGCAGUUCUGCAGGAGGGCGCGCCGGGAGCCCUAUCUGCGUCAGGCUGGGCCAUCGCCUCCACGUGCUCAUGGCCCCCGGGAUGCCUGGCGCAAUCCUCCAUGGGAGCAGCAGCACCGAAGAGCUGGGGGAAGAAUGCGUCUGCCCGGUGCCAGGCAGCCCAGGCCUUUCCCUGGCCCUGCUAACAUCCACCAGUACGAGGAGAAUUGGAGAUGGGCCCCCCAGAACCGUGAUGUGCCACCACCUCCCUGGAUGUACAGAGAGGACCAUCAGAGCCAUGAGAUACCACAGCUGCGUCACCGGGACUUCUUUGCCCAGCCUGAGUUCCCCAGCCAGGAGCAGCGUCCUGCUGGAUUCCCUCGGGAGCAAGAAGACAACUGCUCACCCCAGCGCCAUUGUGGCCCACGCCGGAGACGCUGCCGACUCCUUCGGCCCAUCCAGCAGGAGACAGCAGACAACAGCUGUUCUCCCCACAGCUCCCAAGGGUACCAUCCAUCCUCCAAGCCCUCUCAGUCCUGCUCCCCAGAGAGCCAGCUGGGGCUCAGAGAGCAUCUCGCUGCUCCCCAGUCACCUGCUGCCUGCAAAAACAGUCUGCAAAGCGCGCAGCAGGUGGAUGAGGGCCAGCGGGUGGCAAGCAGUGAGGCACUGGAACGGCCCAGGCGUGCAGAGAAGAGCUCAGAGAAGAGCCCGGGCACUGACCCCCAGGCAGCGGAGCAGAAGCCAGCGGCAGGAGCAAAGCCAGUUGGGCCUGAAGGAGGAGAGGGAGCUGCAGGCAACCAGCAGCUCUCUGCCCUGGAGUUGGAGCCGGUCUCCUCGGAGACAACCAGCACCAGCGAGGAGGAAGGCUUGGAGCUGGCUGCAGGCUUCCAGAGCUCACCCCGCCCCCUGCGCUCCGCACUUUCCCCCACCAGCACAGACCUGCGCUCUGCUGCCAUCCUCACCAAGAAGGAGAGCAUCGAGCAGGGGUACCACGACUUCUGCCUCAGCUUUGCCCUGGUGUCCUCGCUGCUGCUGCAGAAGGAGCCCUCCAUGGAGGCGAUGCUGAUGAAGGCACUGAGAGCCAACCUGUGCGACCUCCGCAACCGCCUCCUGGAUGAGAUGGAGGACUUCAUCCAGCAGUACGAUGCGACGCACCCCAGCUGCUGA